GCGAGUGUAGUUCAAUGGUAGAACGAGAGCUUCCCAAGCUCUAUACGAGGGUUCGAUUCCCUUCACUGCUCC
This 72-nucleotide transfer RNA is filed under the name Xenorhabdus eapokensis. RNAcentral describes it as "tRNA-Gly". It matches the Rfam family "tRNA". From Rfam's summary of the family: Transfer RNA (tRNA) molecules are approximately 80 nucleotides in length. The record is from RNAcentral. Lineage: Bacteria; Pseudomonadati; Pseudomonadota; Gammaproteobacteria; Enterobacterales; Morganellaceae.